Molecule: long non-coding RNA, 2586 nt
Filed under: Mus musculus (house mouse)
Lineage: Eukaryota; Metazoa; Chordata; Mammalia; Rodentia; Muridae
Description: long non-coding RNA chr17:13888977-13891563
Source: RNAcentral
GUAAAGGGGAAAGGCCUCGGUUGUGCGUAUCUGUGUUCCCUAUGCUAUCUUCUGGGUGUUUCUGUGCAGACAGCUAUAUUCACAAUCACAAAGAGGAGUUUAAAGACCCCUGGUUUCUUUUGCUCACUCUUGGCUGACAACUUGAAGGGAUGAGUCAGGCCCUUUGGGCUUCAGUGUUUUAAUUAGCAGUCGUAUAGUUAUCCUUGCUACACUUAAGUUGCAAAAACAGGUACUUAGUAAUGACCACUAACAGUCGGCACAGGGCCAGAUGGUAAAUCCCUGAGACUUGGUGGGCUAUGUCAAGUGUAAUGGUCACAUGGCUCUGCUGUGAGCAGAACAGUCAGAGUUGUUUACAAACCCUGGAUAACUCACCAAGGACAUCACACAGAAAGAGUCGGGUCCUGAUUCUCAUGAUGAGCAGAGGACUUUAGGACAUCAAUUUUAAAGUGCAGGGUCAUUACCAGUAGUAGGACUUGUGUAGCUAUUUUACUGUUAUUACUUCAAAUAUUUAUUAGUUAUUAAUUGUAGUUGUAACAUAAAGAUACUAACAAAUUUUGAUAGAAUUUAAUCUCUAUAUUAAAAAAAAAACCUUUUAUUAUCUUUGUUUCAAAUAAAAAUUUAAAUUAGCCUAAUGUAAAUAAGUUUUAAAAAUACCAAAUUUGGGGUUUAAACUAGAUUCUUGCUACUUAUCAAGCAUAAUUGUUCAGAGGCAUUUAUUGUUACUAACAUGGGCACUUGAUAUUAGCUUGCCGAAGAGUGCUGUUGUCUAUCAUGUUAGUGAGUUUUAAUGAUGCUUUUUAUCAAUAUAAUUUUUUUCUGAUUUCUUCUUUUUUCUUUUUUCUGUUUUAUGCUGUGCAUAAAAGGGGUUGUUGAAAGAGUAGCUGUUUCAGACAUCUUACUUCAAGGGCAUGAUGCAGGUUAACCUUGGUUGAUAUUGUAACAGUCCAGUACUGUGAUUAGUCUCUUUUCAGUGAGGUUUUCCUGAAGACUGUUGAGAAACUCAAAGGGGAGUUCACUGGCUUCUUCAUAUUGACAUUCCUCAGCAUAUACAGUGCUCUAAUUCACCUAAGAUUUAUUUUACAUACUGGCUUUCUUGCGUGAAACCAGAAUGUAAAUUUUAACUAUUACAUCAUUUUACUAGUAUUUUUCUAGUACCUUUAGUAAACAUCCUUAAGAAUAACUGUAUCCACCACUUCAACUAUUAUAUCUCAAAGAAUAAGCGAUGAAUGAGACUUGUACAAUAAGGGUGCGUUGAAUAGUUUCCACUGUGCUCAUGCUCAGGACUCUCAGACACACUGUCUAGCUCUUGUCUGGACUGGCCAGCGCUGGUAUGUCCCUCGGCCCUGACUGGCUAGGGACAGAUACGGUGAUUUGUGGCUUUGUAUUGCCCUCACCCCAAGUUCCAUGAAGAGGAAGAUUUCCCCUCCCCUGUACUACAGUAAAUAACUCCGAAUGUCCAGCUGGUAUUGAUCACAUAGCAUUAGCAUUGCUUCCUUUGAUAGCAGAUCACUGCAGAGAUAAAAAGUUAGCUACUACGAUAGAACAUCUCAAUUUUCUGUGAGGAUGAAAUGUUUAUUGAAGAUUUGUCAUAGAUUUACAAAAUUGCUACUACUUUGAAUAUUUUAAAGCCUUUUAGUAUGGAUUAUGAUGCCUAGUAAAAUUUUGAUAUUAAUUUUUAAAAAGUAAUUUCAUUUUAAUAAUUAUAUAUUUAGCUUAUUAUCUUAAUCUCCAAAUAAACACUAAAGAAAGCUUUGGUUUUUUAAUAUGUCUUUGAAUGAUAAAUCUGAAAAUAUUAAUGCCACAUGGACAUUUUUCUAUUUCUGAAUGCUAGAAGUUAGUCUGUGGUUCUAUAGUUUUCAUCAAGUUGUCUAAAACCAGAUGACGCUUGACAGCAACAAAGAUGCCGGUGGUGGAACACAGGUCUAAACCUAACUUUUUUGUUGACGCUUCAUCUUUCUUUUUUUCCCCUUCUCUAUUACCUGCAGCAGACUGCUAUGCCAGCAAUCUCUGUUCUAGAUUUGGUAUGUUCUUGUUUCUUUCCCUUUGGUACUUUUUUUUUGUCUUGAUUUUCUUUCCUCCUUUGGUGAUGGCUGUUCUGUGUUCUCAGUAGUCAGUUCUCCCUAGCACCUCCUGGGUCAGGAGGUGAGCUCCGUGGUUAGAAGCAUGCCUCUGAAUGUUACUAGACUAGUUACUCUACUUCCUUGUUAACCUUAAGUGUCACUGUUUGUUUAUGGGUUUGACUUUCCUACAGUGUUAGUCAUAAUCUGAUUCUAUCUCAUAGUUAGUCUCAAGUAGGUGAACAAAUGAAAUAGGUUUUGCAUUGGGUAAUUAUUUCUUGUUGUAUUAGAAAUAGAUUUUCACUAUUUCUAAUAAGUAUGUUCACUGUGAACUCAGUUGAAAGGGCAUUGCCACUACUCCCAGACUUAAAAUGUAAUGAAGAUGUCACUGUGAAUGGUAAAGUAAGAGGUUUCCUGUGAACCAAAAUCCUAUUUUUCUUAAUACCACAUGGAUUAUCAAAAUAUUUGAUUGAUCAUUUAUACACACACACACACACACACACACUUAUCCGAGGUUAAUGUCUAGAUG